GACGAACGCUGGCGGCGUGCUUAACACAUGCAAGUCGAGCGGUAAGGCCCUUUCGGGGUACGACGAGCGGCGAACGGGUGAGUAACACGUGGGUGACCUGCCCUCAGCUCUGGGAUAAGCCUGGGAAACUGGGUCUAAUACCGGAUAUGACUCCAUGACGCAUGUUGUGGGGUGGAAAGCCUUGUGCGGCUGAGGAUGGGGCCCGCGGCCUAUCAGCUUGUUGGUGGGGUGANGGCCUACC
RNAcentral lists this ribosomal RNA (241 nucleotides) under uncultured bacterium. Its description in RNAcentral is "partial 16S ribosomal RNA". It matches the Rfam family "Bacterial small subunit ribosomal RNA", at positions 28 to 269 of the family's 1533-position model. The record is from RNAcentral.